This 465-nucleotide ribosomal RNA is filed under the name Vreelandella stevensii. Its description in RNAcentral is "partial 16S ribosomal RNA". It matches the Rfam family "Bacterial small subunit ribosomal RNA", at positions 338 to 795 of the family's 1533-position model. Lineage: Bacteria; Pseudomonadati; Pseudomonadota; Gammaproteobacteria; Oceanospirillales; Halomonadaceae. The record is from RNAcentral.
CCUACGGGAGUCAGCAGUGGGGAAUAUUGGACAAUGGGCGAAAGCCUGAUCCAGCCAUGCCGCGUGUGUGAAGAAGGCCUUCGGGUUGUAAAGCACUUUCAGUGGGGAAGAAAGCCUUGGGGCUAAUACCCUCGAGGAAGGACAUCACCCACAGAAGAAGCACCGGCUAACUCCGUGCCAGCAGCCGCGGUAAUACGGAGGGUGCGAGCGUUAAUCGGAAUUACUGGGCGUAAAGCGCGCGUAGGCGGUCUGAUAAGCCGGUUGUGAAAGCCCCGGGCUCAACCUGGGAACGGCAUCCGGAACUGUCAGGCUAGAGUGCAGGAGAGGAAGGUAGAAUUCCCGGUGUAGCGGUGAAAUGCGUAGAGAUCGGGAGGAAUACCAGUGGCGAAGGCGGCCUUCCGGACUGACACUGACGCUGAGGUGCGAAAGCGUGGGUAGCAAACAGGAUUAGAUACCCCUGUAGUC